RNAcentral lists this ribosomal RNA (477 nucleotides) under uncultured anaerobic ammonium-oxidizing bacterium. Its description in RNAcentral is "bacterial SSU rRNA". It matches the Rfam family "Bacterial small subunit ribosomal RNA", at positions 365 to 832 of the family's 1533-position model. The record is from RNAcentral.
UUCGCAAUGCCCGAAAGGGUGACGAAGCGACGCCGCGUGCGGGAAGAAGGCCUUCGGGUUGUAAACCGCUGUCGGGAGUUAAGAAAUGCAGAGAUGUUAAUAGCGUCUUUGCUUGACUAAGGCUCCGGAGGAAGCCACGGCUAACUCUGUGCCAGCAGCCGCGGUAAUACAGAGGCGGCAAGCGUUGUUCGGAAUUAUUGGGCGUAAAGAGCACGUAGGCGGCUAUGUAAGUCGGUUGUGAAAGCCUUCCGCUCAACGGGAGAACAGCAUCCGAUACUGCAUGGCUUGAGUGCGGGAGGGGAGAGUGGAACUUCUGGUGGAGCGGUGAAAUGCGUAGAUAUCAGAAGGAACGCCGGCGGCGAAAGCGGCUCUCUGGCCCGUAACUGACGCUGAGUGUGCGAAAGCUAGGGGAGCAAACGGGAUUAGAUACCCCGGUAGUCCUAGCCGUAAACGAUGGGCACUAAGUAGAGGGGUUUU